RNAcentral lists this long non-coding RNA (1278 nucleotides) under Pan troglodytes (chimpanzee). Its description in RNAcentral is "long non-coding RNA NONPTRT015400". Lineage: Eukaryota; Metazoa; Chordata; Mammalia; Primates; Hominidae. The record is from RNAcentral.
CCCCACCUUCACUCUCCUCUCCGAGGGGGGAGGGCCAGGGGGUGGGGAAAGAAAACCCCCAAAUCCCCAGCCCUGGGCAGAGAUGUCGAAGAAACGCAAAGCCCUCGAGGGUGGAGGAGGUGGCGGAGAACCCCAGCUCCCAGAGGAGGAACCCACUGCCUGGUUUGGGGACAGCAGCGAGGAGCAAGACCUUUUAAAAAUGGAACUGUCGGCUGCGGUUGGAAGGCGCAGGCAGGCGCCCUGGAGAGAAUUCACAGGGAGGCACAGGACAGAACGCUCCCAGGAACGAGGAAGCACCCCCAGAAAGGAGCGCUCUAUGGCCCCCAGGCAGCCGAGGAAACGCGAACGUGAGCCCCGUGACUGCACUCCCACGUGCACCGACGCUGCCAGUGUGAGCAGAAGCGGAGCCCGCAGAGCGCCAGGCUGCGCCGGGAGAUGCAUGUGAAAAACUGCGCCAGAGCAUGGCGGGAACUUUCCGAGAGGGCGUGUUGUUUCCAGGCGGUUCCACCUUCUAAUAUGAAACAGUCUUGGUUGAUUUUCCUUGAUACUACUUUAUGCUCGGCCUGGUUGUUGGCAAGUAGCUGCCCGCGUCUGUACGCGCCCUUGAUUAGUUUCCACUGCAUGUGUUUUAACACAGUGCUCCUUUUUCCACGUUUAUUUGGGCCAACCCUGUCUGCAAAGAUCCAGUUUAAUAUAAAUUUGAGUCUACGUGCUAUAGCCUGGAAAUGUACUAAAGACACUACAACAUAUUGCUGAAAGAAUAGAAUCUUUAUUCUGAAUGCAAAGCAGACACCUAGUAAAAAAUUCUGGAAUAAUAAAACAAGCAAGGCUUAUGUGCUCAGUUUUGGGGACGCUCCAAUUUAAAGGCUUAGUCAUUGUCACGGUGUAAGGUUCACCCAUUGCCCCCAUCACACAGAUGUGGGAUUGUUGAGAGCUGAGAGUCCUAUGACCUCUUCUGCUGCCCAAGAACUUGGGGUGGGUGGUAACUGGAGAAAUCAAAGUGAUCAGCUGCAAAGAAUGCUUCCAUUGCUGGAGCUUGGUUGUGCGGGAUUCUCCACGGACGUCUUAAGGCAGAGACAAAAACAAGGACUUUGGGAGGCUCCUGUGAGCAGCCAAAAGGGUUUAGAGUCAGGCAGCCUCAGGUUACAAAUCCAGUCCUGCAGGCUAGGAGUUGUGUAAGCUUAAAAAAGUGACUGCACUUCCAGGAACAUCAUUUCCCUACCUGCUCCUCCUUCUGACGGGUUUUCUGAGGACAAUGGAAUCCACACUCUGUGUCGA